Molecule: non-coding RNA, 126 nt
Organism: Myotis davidii
Lineage: Eukaryota; Metazoa; Chordata; Mammalia; Chiroptera; Vespertilionidae
Source: Rfam
CAUGCACCAGUGGGGUCCCUCAGCCUGGCCUGUGGGAUUGGGCUAAAACCGGCUCUCUGACAUCCCCUGAGGGGUUCCAGAUUGUGAGAGGGCGCAGGCCAGGCUGAGGGACCCCACUGGUGCACA